CCCGGGGCUCAAGCUGUCUAUUGCCACUUACCACGUGUCCAGUAUGGGACCGUGUCCCCUUGGAGUAUUUACUACAGGGUAUGGGAAACUGUGACCUUCACCUGCAACCCGGGGUACACCCUGCAGGGUCCCCGCAGCAGCACCUGCCGAGCUGGCUCCAGGUGGGACCCCCCUCUGCCAAAGUGCAAAAAGGAGGUGACAUGUCCUCGGGCACCGAGCAUCGCCAAUGGGUG
Non-coding RNA from Sturnus vulgaris (Common starling), 233 nucleotides. NCBI's taxonomy places the organism in Eukaryota, Metazoa, Chordata, Aves, Passeriformes, Sturnidae. The record is from RefSeq and is a predicted model, not a curated record.